RNAcentral lists this ribosomal RNA (301 nucleotides) under uncultured bacterium. RNAcentral's name for it is "partial 16S ribosomal RNA". It matches the Rfam family "Bacterial small subunit ribosomal RNA", at positions 509 to 807 of the family's 1533-position model. The record is from RNAcentral.
CAGUCGCCACGGUAAUACGAAGGGGGCUAGCGUUGCUCGGAAUUACUGGGCGUAAAGGGCGCGUAGGCGGACAGUUAAGUUGGGGGUGAAAGCCCGGGGCUCAACCUCGGAAUUGCCUUCAAUACUGGCUGUCUUGAGUAUGAGAGAGGUGUGUGGAACUCCGAGUGUAGAGGUGAAAUUCGUAGAUAUUCGGAAGAACACCAGUGGCGAAGGCGACACACUGGCUCAUUACUGGCGCUGAGGCGCGAAAGCGUGGGGAGCAAACAGGAUUAGAUACCCCCGUAGUCCCUGUCUCUUAUAC